CAAAAGCCUGGUGACAUGCGAUUGGAUGUUUUUAUUCCAGUUGAGCGUAGUCUGAUGCCUUCGAGAUACCAUGCUGGCUGGUGAUUUAUGUAUGGGGUGAUUUGCUUGGGGUCGAGUCCGUGGAGAACAGGGAUCAUGCGCACAAGCCCACCAUUGUUUACUGAUCAGGUGCGGUCCUCCACCUACUUACCAGGCGUUGGCCACGAAACAUGUUCACUUUGGCAGUACUUUCCACCAAAGGCAUCCUCUUGGUUAUGGAGAUUUGAAAAGCUAAGAUAAAGUCUUCCUUAUUUUCAACUUAAUCUAUUUCAUCUCAGAAAGUAUUAAGGAGAUAAGAACAAGUGGCGAGUUCUUGGUACAUUCCUGCGGACAGCAUCCAGGGAGAGCCUAAGCUAGACAGCGUGAGCACAUAAACCUUUAGAAUCCUGUGAACCAUGCAGUGUUUCAAUCCACAAACAGUAUUUGUUUAGGGAACAAAGCAGCAAAAACCUGCAACGGAUCCAAAGAGGAAAGUAACUCUCCUUUCUGGGAAUGAAGUUCUAUUUGUGCUUGCCUCUCCUCACGCCUUCAAGAUCGUAAAAGCUUUUAAUUUUUUGGAGGUCAGCUGCAGUUACUGCCUUAAAAGCUGCAUCCUUCUUUCAAGGCUUCUGUCACAGACUCGAAGGAAAGCCUGAAAUCAUCAACUAAGCAGCCUAGGGGCCUUAGAUGAGCCAUUUUCCAACUUGGGAAGAGAAAAGAGAGGAAGGAACAAGAAAAGCAUAGUGGAAUCAGAGUCAAUAUCAAUUAUAUUUGGGUGAGGAUCCAUUUAAUUGAUGACAAUUCAAUUCCUGGACUUCAGGGACCAGCCUGUUAACUUGUCUUCUGUAACGGUAAAACAACUAGACAUGUGUGGAGCAGUUUAUGCAACAAAGACAAAGCAAAACUGGAGGACCUAUGAUCCAAGACAAGGCAAGUGUAGAAAACUGGAUGUAUUUAUGUUCAUCUCUAUAUGUGUUAUUUUUAAGUUUUUC
This 1010-nucleotide long non-coding RNA is filed under the name Bos indicus x Bos taurus (hybrid cattle). RNAcentral describes it as "lncRNA (ENSBIXG00005029378.1)". Lineage: Eukaryota; Metazoa; Chordata; Mammalia; Artiodactyla; Bovidae. The record is from RNAcentral.